AGGAUGAACGCUGGCGGCGUGCUUAACACAUGCAAGUCGAACGAUGAAGGCUGGAGCUUGCUCUGGCUGGAUUAGUGGCGAACGGGUGAGUAACACGUGAGUAACCUGCCCCAGACUCUGGGAUAAGCGCUGGAAACGGCGUCUAAUACCGGAUACGAGCUUCCACCGCAUGGUGAGGAGCUGGAAAGAAUUUCGGUCUGGGAUGGGCUCGCGGCCUAUCAGCUUGUUGGUGAGGUAAUGGCCCACCAAGGCGACGACGGGUAGCCGGCCUGAGAGGGUGACCGGCCACACUGGGACUGAGACACGGCCCAGACUCCUACGGGAGCAGCAGUGGGGAAUAUUGCACAAUGGGCNCAAGCCUGAUGCAGCAACGCCGC
This 377-nucleotide ribosomal RNA is filed under the name uncultured soil bacterium. RNAcentral's name for it is "bacterial SSU rRNA". It matches the Rfam family "Bacterial small subunit ribosomal RNA", at positions 26 to 400 of the family's 1533-position model. The record is from RNAcentral.